This 246-nucleotide unclassified non-coding RNA is filed under the name uncultured fungus. Its description in RNAcentral is "sequence contains ITS2". The stretch from base 1 to 52 matches the Rfam family "5.8S ribosomal RNA", at positions 103 to 154 of the family's 154-position model. The record is from RNAcentral. Lineage: Eukaryota; Fungi.
AACGCACAUUGCGCCCGCCAGUAUUCUGGCGGGCAUGCCUGUUCGAGCGUCAUUUCAACCCUCAAGCCCAGCUUGGUGUUGGGACUCGCGAGUUAAAUCGCGUUCCCCAAAUUGAUUGGCGGUCACGUCGAGCUUCCAUAGCGUAGUAGUAAAACCCUCGUUACUGGUAAUCGUCGCGGCCACGCCGUUAAACCCCAACUUCUGAAUGUUGACCUCGGAUCAGGUAGGAAUACCCGCUGAACUUAA